AUUGAACGCUGGCGGCAUGCCUUACACAUGCAAGUCGAACGGCAGCACGGGGGCAACCCUGGUGGCGAGUGGCGAACGGGUGAGUAACAUAUCGGAACGUGCCCUGGAGUGGGGGAUAACUAGUCGAAAGAUUAGCUAAUACCGCAUACGAUCUACGGAUGAAAGUGGGGGAUCGCAAGACCUCAUGCUCGUGGAGCGGCCGAUAUCUGAUUAGCAGUUGGUGGGGUAAAGGCCUACCAAGGCAUCGAUCAGUAGCUGGUCUGAGAGGACGACCAGCCACACUGGGACUGAGACACGGCCCAGACUCCUACGGGAGGCAGCAGUGGGGAAUUUUGGAC
RNAcentral lists this ribosomal RNA (338 nucleotides) under uncultured bacterium. RNAcentral's name for it is "bacterial SSU rRNA". It matches the Rfam family "Bacterial small subunit ribosomal RNA", at positions 30 to 369 of the family's 1533-position model. The record is from RNAcentral.